AGACAUCAUCCUGUUACACACAUCAUUAGCAACAGGCCUCUGAUUCUAACCCGGACACUGUGCCUUCACCACCUGAGGCCGUAUCUGAACCAAGAAUGCAUCAGGCUGCCUAAGAGGUUCCAUCUGCGCAGUGACUACAGCCUGCUCCUUACCUCAAGCCCAGGCCUCAGUUUCUCCAAGUGUAACACUGUACGGUGUGGACCUGCCAGCCUUCCAUACAGCCUGAUAUAAAGAAUGUCGCUUCGUCAACUGUCCAGAGUCAAGAAAUGCCCAUGUGAACUGCACAGUCCUGAGUGCAGCAAAGCCAGUGGCUCUGUCCCAGCAUGCCCUUCAGCUCUGACAUUUGGGCUUCACCGACCAGGUGCAUGGACUGUCGUCACCGAAACCCCGAGUCAGGGAAAGCUCUCCUUUAAACUGUUUCCUGGAAUUCGUGACAGCUGUGGAAAACCAGCACCUCAUUUGUAGUGAGACUGGAGCAUGUGCUGGCAGCCACGCUCAGCACAGCAGCCGGGAGAGACAGCUCUGCGGUUAAAAGCACCUGCUGCGUUCCCAGCACCGUGUCAAGGGGUCCCCAACAGCCUGCAACGGCAGCUUCAGGGAUCUGAGCCCUGCUUCUGGCCUGCAGAGGUGUCUGUGUG
Meriones unguiculatus (Mongolian gerbil) is the source of this 638-nucleotide long non-coding RNA. RefSeq lists it as uncharacterized. The transcript is spliced from 3 exons. The record is from RefSeq and is a predicted model, not a curated record. Lineage: Eukaryota; Metazoa; Chordata; Mammalia; Rodentia; Muridae.